GACGUAGGAGGCGAGCGUUGUCCGGAGUUACUGGGCGUAAAGCGCGCGCAGGCGGUCACGCAGGUCAUCUGUGAAAGCACCCGGCUCAACCGGGUUGUUGCGGGUGAAACCGCGUGACUUGAGGUCGGGAGGGGUCGGUGGAAUUCCCGGUGUAGUGGUGAAAUGCGUAGAGAUCGGGAGGAACACCCGUAGCGAAGGCGGCCGACUGGACCGAUCCUGACGCUGAGGCGCGAAGGCCAGGGGAGCGAACGGG
Molecule: ribosomal RNA, 253 nt
Filed under: uncultured bacterium
Lineage: Bacteria
Description: partial 16S ribosomal RNA
Rfam family: Bacterial small subunit ribosomal RNA
Source: RNAcentral